This 465-nucleotide ribosomal RNA is filed under the name uncultured bacterium. RNAcentral describes it as "partial 16S ribosomal RNA". It matches the Rfam family "Bacterial small subunit ribosomal RNA", at positions 28 to 507 of the family's 1533-position model. The record is from RNAcentral.
GACGAACGCUGGCGGCGUGCUUAACACAUGCAAGUCGAACGGAAAGGCCCUGCUUGCAGGGUACUCGAGUGGCGAACGGGUGAGUAACACGUGGGUGAUCUGCCCUGCACUUCGGGAUAAGCCUGGGAAACUGGGUCUAAUACCGGAUAGGAGCCAUUUUUAGUGUGAUGGUUGGAAAGUUUUUUCGGUGUAGGAUGAGCUCGCGGCCUAUCAGCUUGUUGGUGGGGUAAUGGCCUACCAAGGCGGCGACGGGUAGCCGGCCUGAGAGGGUGGACGGCCACAGUGGGACUGAGAGACGGCCCAGACUCCCACGGGAGGCAGCAGUUGGGAAUAUUUCACAAGGGGCGCAAGCCUGAUGCAGCGACUCCGCGGGGGGGAGGACGGCCUUCGGGUUGUAAACGCCUUUCGCUAGGGACGAAGCUUUUUGUGACGGUACCUAGAUAAGAAGCACCGGCUAACUACGUG